This 621-nucleotide ribosomal RNA is filed under the name uncultured bacterium. RNAcentral describes it as "bacterial SSU rRNA". It matches the Rfam family "Bacterial small subunit ribosomal RNA", at positions 338 to 951 of the family's 1533-position model. The record is from RNAcentral.
CCUACGGGAGGCAGCAGUGGGGAAUUUUGGACAAUGGGCGCAAGCCUGAUCCAGCAAUGCCGCGUGAGUGAAGAAGGCCUUCGGGUUGUAAAGCUCUUUUGUCAGGGAAGAAACGGCUGAGGUUAAUACCUUCGGCUAAUGACGGUACCUGAAGAAUAAGCACCGGCUAACUACGUGCCAGCAGCCGCGGUAAUACGUAGGGUGCAAGCGUUAAUCGGAAUUACUGGGCGUAAAGCGUGCGCAGGCGGUUUUGUAAGUCUGACGUGAAAUCCCCGGGCUCAACCUGGGAAUUGCGUUGGAGACUGCAAGGCUGGAGUCUGGCAGAGGGGGGUAGAAUUCCACGUGUAGCAGUGAAAUGCGUAGAGAUGUGGAGGAACACCGAUGGCGAAGGCAGCCCCCUGGGUCAAGACUGACGCUCAUGCACGAAACGCGUGGGGAGCAAACAGGAUUAGAUACCCUGGUAGUCCACGCCCUAAACGAUGUCUACUAGUUGUCGGGUCUUAAUUGACUUGGUAACGCAGCUAACGCGUGAAGUAGACCGCCUGGGGAGUACGGUCGCAAGAUUAAAACUCAAAGGAAUUGACGGCUGAGACCGAGCGACGACGACGACGAGGGAGGAGG